CAAGUCGAGCGGUAACAUUUCUAGCUUGCUAGAAGAUGACGAGCGGCGGACGGGUGAGUAAUGCUUGGGAACAUGCCUUUAGGUGGGGGACAACAGUUGGAAACGACUGCUAAUACCGCAUGAUGUCUACGGACCAAAGUGGGGGACCUUCGGGCCUCACGCCUAAAGAUUGGCCCAAGUGGGAUUAGCUAGUUGGUGAGGUAAUGGCUCACCAAGGCGACGAUCCCUAGCUGGUUUGAGAGGAUGAUCACCCACACUGGGACUGAGACACGGCCCAGACUCCUACGGGAGGCAGCAGUGGGGAAUAUUGCACAAUGGGCGCAAGCCUGAUGCACCCAUGCCGCGUGUGUGAAGAAGGCCUUCGGGUUGUAAAGCACUUUCAGUCAGGAGGAAAGGGUGUGUUUUAAUAGAGCGCAUCUGUGACGUUACUGACAGAAGAAGCACCGGCUAACUCCGUGCCAGCAGCCGCGGUAAUACGGAGGGUGCGAGCGUUAAUCGGAAUUACUGGGCGUAAAGCGUACGCAGGCGGUUUGUUAAGCGAGAUGUGAAAGCCCCGGGCUCAACCUGGGAACUGCAUUUCGAACUGGCAAACUAGAGUGUGAUAGAGG
RNAcentral lists this ribosomal RNA (608 nucleotides) under Pseudoalteromonas byunsanensis. RNAcentral's name for it is "bacterial SSU rRNA". It matches the Rfam family "Bacterial small subunit ribosomal RNA", at positions 58 to 657 of the family's 1533-position model. Lineage: Bacteria; Pseudomonadati; Pseudomonadota; Gammaproteobacteria; Alteromonadales; Pseudoalteromonadaceae. The record is from RNAcentral.